UACGGGGGGGGGCAAGCGUUGUUCGGAAUUACUGGGCGUAAAGGGCUCGUAGGUGGCCAACUAAGUCAGACGUGAAAUCCCUCGGCUUAACCGGGGAACUGCGUCUGAUACUGGAUGGCUUGAGUUUGGGAGAGGGAUGCGGAAUUCCAGGUGUAGCGGUGAAAUGCGUAGAUAUCUGGAGGAACACCGGUGGCGAAGGCGGCAUCCUGGACCAACACUGACGCUGAUGAGCGAAAGCCAGGGGAGCAAACGGG
This 254-nucleotide ribosomal RNA is filed under the name uncultured bacterium. RNAcentral describes it as "partial 16S ribosomal RNA". It matches the Rfam family "Bacterial small subunit ribosomal RNA", at positions 524 to 776 of the family's 1533-position model. The record is from RNAcentral.